AUACGUAGGUGGCGAGCGUUGUCCGGAUUUACUGGGUGUAAAGGGCGAGUAGGCGGGCUUGCAAGUCAGAUGUGGAAUACCGAGGCUCAACUUCGGGGCUGCAUUUGAAACUGCGAGUCUUGAGUGAUGGAGAGGCAGGCGGAAUUCCCCGUGUAGCGGGAAAAUGCAUAGAUAUUGGGAAGAACACCAGUGGCGAAGGCGGCCUGCUGGACAUUAACUGACGCUGAGGAGCGAAAGUGUGGGGAGCAAACAGGAUUAGAUACCCUGGUAGUCCACACCGUAAACGAUGGAUACUAGGUGUGCGGGGACUGACCCCCUGCGUGCCGCAGUUAACACAAUAAGUAUCCCACCUGGGGAGUACGAUCGCAAGAUUGAAACUCAAAUGAAUUGACGGGG
This 396-nucleotide ribosomal RNA is filed under the name uncultured bacterium. RNAcentral's name for it is "partial 16S ribosomal RNA". It matches the Rfam family "Bacterial small subunit ribosomal RNA", at positions 523 to 918 of the family's 1533-position model. The record is from RNAcentral.